UGGCCGAGUGGUCUAAAGCGCCAGACUCAAGUUCUGGUCUUCGAAAGAGGGCGUGGGUUAAAAUCCCAC
Molecule: transfer RNA, 69 nt
Organism: Arabis alpina (gray rockcress)
Lineage: Eukaryota; Viridiplantae; Streptophyta; Magnoliopsida; Brassicales; Brassicaceae
Rfam family: tRNA
About the family: Transfer RNA (tRNA) molecules are approximately 80 nucleotides in length.
Source: Rfam